GACGAACGCUGGCGGCGUGUCUAAUACAUGCAAGUUGAGCGCUGAAGGUUGGUACUUGUACCUACUGGAUGAGCAGCGAACGGGUGAGUAACGCGUUGGGAAUCUGCCUUUUAGCGGGGGACAACAUUUGGAAACGAAUGCUAAUACCGCAUAAAAACUUUAAACACAAGUUUUUAGUUUGAAAGAUGCAAUUGCAUCACUCAAAGAUGAUCCCGCGUUGUAUUAGCUAGUUGGUGAGGUAAAGGCUCACCAAGGCGAUGAUACAUAGCCGACCUGAGAGGGUGAUCGGCCACAUUGGGACUGAGACACGGCCCAAACCCCUACGGGAGGCAGCAGUAGGGAAUCUUCGGCAAUAGACGAAAGUCUGACCGAGCAACGCCGCGUGAGUGAAGAAGGUUUUCGGAUCGUAAAACUCUGUUGGUAGAGAAGAACGUUGGUGAGAGUGGAAAGCUCAUCAAGUGACGGUAACUACCCAGAAAGGGACGGCUAACUACGUG
RNAcentral lists this ribosomal RNA (497 nucleotides) under uncultured bacterium. RNAcentral's name for it is "partial 16S ribosomal RNA". It matches the Rfam family "Bacterial small subunit ribosomal RNA", at positions 28 to 507 of the family's 1533-position model. The record is from RNAcentral.